AGAGUUUGAUCCUGGCUCAGAUUGAACGCUGGCGGCAUGCUUUACACAUGCAAGUCGAACGGUAACAGGGGAGCUUGCUCCCGCUGACGAGUGGCGAACGGGUGAGUAAUGCAUCGGAACGUACCGAGUAAUGGGGGAUAACUAUCCGAAAGGAUGGCUAAUACCGCAUACGAUCUUAGGAUGAAAGUGGGGGACCUUCGGGCCUCACGUUAUUCGAGCGGCCGAUGCCUGAUUAGCUAGUUGGUAGGGUAAAAGCCUACCAAGGCUACGAUCAGUAGCGGGUCUGAGAGGAUGAUCCGCCACACUGGGACUGAGACACGGCCCAGACUCCUACGGGAGGCAGCAGUGGGGAAUUUUGGACAAUGGGGGCAACCCUGAUCCAGCCAUGCCGCGUGUCUGAAGAAGGCCUUCGGGUUGUAAAGGACUUUUGUUAGGGAGGAAAAUUUAUCCAUUAAUACUGGGUAAAGCUGACAGUACCUAAAGAAUAAGCACCGGCUAACUACGUGCCAGCAGCCGCGGUAAUACGUAGGGUGCAAGCGUUAAUCGGAAUUACUGGGCGUAAAGCGAGCGCA
Molecule: ribosomal RNA, 572 nt
Filed under: uncultured bacterium
Lineage: Bacteria
Description: bacterial SSU rRNA
Rfam family: Bacterial small subunit ribosomal RNA
Source: RNAcentral